UUUACUCUUAUAUUGGGGAUGUGGUCCUUUAAUUCCAACUAGACACAACACAUUCCUCUGUUCCAUUUAUCUUCUCUCUCAUUUUCAAAGGUUCCCUUAUAAUGGAAUCGCUUCAGUGGAAGACAAGAUGAGGAAAGUGAGGUUGAGAUGGUUCGGUCAUCUGAUGACGAGGGGCAUGGAUACCUCAGUGCGGGAAGUGUGAGAGACUGACUAGGGAUAUAUGUAGAGACAGAUCGAAGAAAUAUUAGAGGGAGGUGAUUAGACAUGACAUGACAUGGAACAGCUUCAACUUACCGAAUACAUGACCCUAGAUAGGAAGUUGUGGAGGAGACGGAUUAGGGUAGAAGGUUAGUAUGAGUUUAGGAU
RNAcentral lists this long non-coding RNA (366 nucleotides) under Capsicum annuum. RNAcentral's name for it is "long non-coding RNA (CANN_LNC020060)". Lineage: Eukaryota; Viridiplantae; Streptophyta; Magnoliopsida; Solanales; Solanaceae. The record is from RNAcentral.